GACGAACGCUGGCGGCGUGCCUAAUACAUGCAAGUCGAGCGCGGGAAAUCAUCCGAACCCUUCGGGGGGACGUUGAUGGAAUGAGCGGCGGACGGGUGAGUAACACGUAAAGAACCUGCCCUCAGGUCUGGGAUAACCACGAGAAAUCGGGGCUAAUACCGGAUGGGUCAUCGGACCGCAUGGUCCGAGGAUGAAAGGCGCUCCGGCGUCGCCUGGGGAUGGCUUUGCGGUGCAUUAGCUAGUUGGUGGGGUAAUGGCCCACCAAGGCGACGAUGCAUAGCCGACCUGAGAGGGUGAUCGGCCACACUGGGACUGAGACACGGCCCAGACUCCUACGGGAGGCAGCAGUAGGGAAUCUUCCACAAUGGACGAAAGUCUGAUGGAGCAACGCCGCGUGAACGAUGAAGGCCUUCGGGUCGUAAAGUUCUGUUGUAAGGGAAGAACAAGUGCCGCAGGCAAUGGCGGCACCUUGACGGUACCUUGCGAGAAAGCCACGGCUAACUACGUGCCAGCCGCCGCUGUAA
This 524-nucleotide ribosomal RNA is filed under the name uncultured bacterium. RNAcentral's name for it is "partial 16S ribosomal RNA". It matches the Rfam family "Bacterial small subunit ribosomal RNA", at positions 28 to 523 of the family's 1533-position model. The record is from RNAcentral.